Molecule: non-coding RNA, 27 nt
Filed under: Cricetulus griseus (Chinese hamster)
Lineage: Eukaryota; Metazoa; Chordata; Mammalia; Rodentia; Cricetidae
Source: RNAcentral
GGAGGACUUGAAACACGUAGCUACUGA